CAGCUUGUUGGUGGGGUAACGGCCUACCAAGGCGACGACGGGUAGCUGGUCUGAGAGGACGACCAGCCACACUGGGACUGAGACACGGCCCAGACUCCUACGGGAGGCAGCAGUGGGGAAUCUUGCUCAAUGGGCGAAAGCCUGAAGCAGCGACGCCGCGUGCGGGAUGAAGGCCUUCGGGUCGUAAACCGCUUUCAGCAGGAACGAAAUUGACGGUACCUGCAGAAGAAGGCCCGGCCAACUACGUGCCAGCAGCCGCGGUAAUACGUAGGGGCCUAGCGUUGUCCGGAAUUAUUGGGCGUAAAGAGCUCGUAGGCGGUUUGGUAAGUCGGGUGUGAAAUCUCCACGCUCAACGUGGAGGAGCCACCCGAUACUGCCAUGACUCGAGUCCGGUAGGGGAGUGUGGAAUUCCCGGUGUAGCGGUGAAAUGCGCAGAUAUC
Molecule: ribosomal RNA, 440 nt
Filed under: uncultured Actinomycetes bacterium
Lineage: Bacteria; Bacillati; Actinomycetota; Actinomycetes
Description: SSU rRNA
Rfam family: Bacterial small subunit ribosomal RNA
Source: RNAcentral